This is a long non-coding RNA of Bos taurus (domestic cattle), 2396 nucleotides long. Lineage: Eukaryota; Metazoa; Chordata; Mammalia; Artiodactyla; Bovidae. The record is from Ensembl.
CCUUUAGACUGAUUUAAAGUACAGUUUUUUAAUUUAAGAUGUAUUUUAUUUCUCUGAAAUAAGACUUGGCAUUUUGUUAAACAGCCGUAAAAACUCAAUCCAAGUGUGUUUUCUAAUAUACUCUGUUACCAGAACAAAUAGAUUUUAGGUACUGUUUCUCCCUUGGGCACCGAUUGCAGCCAUGAAAUUAAAAGACGCUUACUCCUUGGAAGGAAAGUUAUGACCAACCUAGACAGCAUAUUAAAAAGCAGAGACAUUACUUUGCCAACAAAGGUCCGUCUAGUCAAGGCUAUGGUUUUUCCAGUGGUCAUGUAUGGAUGUGAGAGUUGGACUAUAAAUAAAGCUGAGCGCCAAAGAAUUGAUGCUUUUGAACUGUGGUGUUGGAGAAGACUCUUGAGAGCCCCUUAGACUGCAAGGAGAUCCAACCAGUCCAUCCUAAAGGAGAUCAGUCCUGGGUGUUCAGUGGAAGGACUGAUGUUGAAGCUGAAACUCCAAUACUUUGGCCACCUGAUGCGAAGAACUGACUCAUUUGAAAAGACCCUGAUGCUGGGAAAGAUUGAGGGCAGGAGGAGAAGGGGACGACAGAGGAUGAGAUAGUUGGAUGGCAUCACCAACUCAAUGGACAUGAGUUUGGGUGGACUCUGGAAGUUGGUGAUGGACAGGGAGGCCUGGUGUGCUGAGGUUCAUGGGGUCACAAAGAGUUGGACAUGAUUGAGCAACUGAACUGGACUGAACUGAACUGAACAUAUGGUAGUUCUCUUUGUUAAGAAAAUAGUUUAAAACAAUGCUUCACAAAAGCUAUGCAAAAAAAAAUUUUGAGCUCUUAAAAUGUAUUUCACAGAAUGAUCAGUGUAGGGCUUCAACUGUCAAUAAUUAGAUGUUUUCCCUGUUUCAGUCUAGUGAUAUAAGACAUAAGUUUCCACUCCAGAACAAACACCUGUCAUGGUUGCCUUGUCCCAUAGCGAAUGAGGAGCUCAGUGUCAUUCUUAAUGCCUCUGUCAUGGUUUUCUGUCAUAAGCCAGUAGUGACAUGAAGGAGUUGCUGAGCCAAAUUUCUAAUUAUUCUUCCAAGGGAAACAGAUCAUUAUAAAUUAUGCCUAAACCAAAAUUGAUUUUUUCUUGGCUGAUACUCUGUAGUUCUCAAGUGGAAAAUACAAAAUAACUAGCUUAACAAAACACCUCAAUUUAUUCAGUUACCUUUUGGGUACAUUUUGUAGCUAAUUCAUUCUACUUAUUGGGAGCUGCUGCUGCUGCUAAGUCGCUUCAGUUGUGUCUGACUCUGUGCGACCCCAUAGACAGCAGCCCACCAGGCUCCCCCGUCCCUGGGAUUCUCCAGGUAAGAACACUGGAGUGGGUUGCCAUUUCCUUCUCCAAUGCCUGAAAGUGAAAAGUGAAAGUGAAGUCGCUCAGUCAUGUCCGGCUCUUAGCGACUCCAUGGACUGCAGCCCACCAGCCUCCUCCGUCCAUGGGAUUUGCCAGGCAAGAGUACUGGAGUGGGGUGCCAUUGCCUUCUCCGUAUUGGGAGCUAGUGUCACUCAAAACUAAUAAUACCAUGGGAAAAUCUUUUACCAUUAAUAUUUUUGAUAUUUAUAUUCUCUGCCACAUUAUCUGGUACCAAACACUGUUAUUUAUGUUGUUUUUAGCCUAAUUCAGUAUAAUCAAGUAGACACAUAAUGGAUGCUUAGAAAAUAUUUACUGUUCUGAACACAAAAUAGUCCUUGCCCACAAGACAGAAUAUUCUAAGUGCUCUACUAAAUAAGUACAAACAAAAUACAAAAGGGGUUCUUAGUCAUCAUUAGGGGAGGCAACUUCUAAAAUAAAUUGAAUUUUUUCCAUGUAUCGGAUUAACAAAGAUGUAAAAAGAUUAUAAUAUCCAGUGUUAGAAAAUGGGUAAAUAAGAACGUGAAUGCACAUGGAUACAAACACUUUGGAUGACAACUUGCCUGUAUUUACAUUUUUUUAAUGCACAUUCCUCUUGUUAGAGCAAUUCUACUUGUAGGAAUGUAUCCUGGGGUUACUGUUGGUUUGCAAACUCCCCUCAUACAUGGAGGGCAAGGAGAGACUGCAAAAAGAGGCAGACCACUCCAGAUUGGGAGGUGGCUGGUUUAAUAAACAAGGGAACUUACACAGGAGUAGAUCUCUACACCUGCCCUCCAGAACCUUCAAAGUUUAUAGAGAGGCCUUAAUGGGCUUCCAUCACACACGUCAUUCAGACAAUCUCAACAAUGCUUUAUUCUUUCAAGGCUAUGUUCUUGGAACAGCUCCCAGUGUAGGAAAGAUGGGCAGAAUAUGCAUUCCAAGAAUGAGGGAGUGUGAAGUCUCAGCCACUGGACCACCAGGGAAGCCUCCAAAAUUCUUUUCGGUGAUAUACAUUCUUUUAAAAGUGAAGAGUAACCU